CCUCAGAGUUGUGUUCCUCUGCUGAAGCUGCUCACACGCCUGCAAGACACAGCACUUCUGUUCUUCUCCCUCCUCUUCAUCCUCCUGUCUUCAUCGUCAGAGGAAGCCUGACACACACGCGCACAAAAUUGGAAGUUUGAAGCCAGGAAGGUAGCACUUACAGCUUUCUUCAAAAUGACGCCUCUGAGGGAGGUUAGUGGGAGGUGGCCAUCCCCUGCUCGCCGUCCCCUGUCGCGGCCCGCCGGUCAUGGCGGAGAGGAGAACCGAGCU
Molecule: long non-coding RNA, 270 nt
Organism: Nerophis lumbriciformis (worm pipefish)
Lineage: Eukaryota; Metazoa; Chordata; Actinopteri; Syngnathiformes; Syngnathidae
Source: RefSeq, a predicted model, not a curated record